CCCUUAGAUGUCCUGGGCCGCACGCGCGCUACACUGAGUGUCUGAGAUACGAGUCUGCCUGGUCCGGCAAGGUCUAGGUAAUCGCUAAAAGACACAUCAUGCUUGGGAUAGAUUAUUGCAAAUAUUAAUCUUGAACGAGGAAUUCCUAGUAAGCGCAAGUCAACAGCUUGCGUUGAUUACGUCCCUACCCUUUGUACACACCGCCCGUCGCUACUACUGAUUGGAUGUUUAAGCGAGGUUCUCGAACUGCUAGCGACUUAGCUUCGGUGAGGUCGCAGUGUGGGAAGUGAACCUAGCCUUGGUGUCUAGAGGAAGUAAAAGUCGUAACA
RNAcentral lists this ribosomal RNA (329 nucleotides) under uncultured eukaryote. Its description in RNAcentral is "partial 18S ribosomal RNA". It matches the Rfam family "Eukaryotic small subunit ribosomal RNA", at positions 1470 to 1796 of the family's 1831-position model. The record is from RNAcentral.